Molecule: long non-coding RNA, 211 nt
Filed under: Mytilus galloprovincialis (Mediterranean mussel)
Lineage: Eukaryota; Metazoa; Mollusca; Bivalvia; Mytilida; Mytilidae
Source: RNAcentral
GGUGCAUGGGUAUUUUAUUUGAAGUCAUAAAACGACUUUUAUGGUUUUUUUUUAUGUAUGUCACUAGGUACUUAUAGUAUCAAUCUACAAGACGUAAAAAUUAUUUAGUACAUUUUUAGUGGUCAUUUAAACAUUUUGUACUACACUGUAUGAUGAAGCAUUUCUAAUGGAAACUGUUGCCUUAUUUAUAUUUGUUUGUUUGCAUUCUCUU